AACGAACGCUGGCGGCAUGCCUAACACAUGCAAGUCGAACGAGACCUUCGGGUCUAGUGGCGCACGGGUGCGUAACGCGUGGGAACCUGCCCUUAGGUUCGGAAUCACUCCCCGAAAGGGGUGCUAAUACCGGAUAAUGUCUUCGGACCAAAGAUUUAUCGCCUUUGGAUGGGCCCGCGUUUGAUUAGCUAGUUGGUAGUGUAAAAGCCUACCAAGGCGACGAUCCAUAGCUGGUCUGAGAGGAUGAUCAGCCACACUGGGACUGAGACACGGCCCAGACUCAUACGGGAGGGAGCAGUGGGGAAUAUUGGACAAGGGGCGAAAGCGUGAUACAGCAACGCCGCGUGAGUGAGGAAGGCCGUAGGGUUGUAAAGCUCUCUUACCCGGGAUGAUAAUGACAGUACCGGGAGAAUAAGCACCGGCUAACUCCGUG
This 433-nucleotide ribosomal RNA is filed under the name uncultured bacterium. RNAcentral's name for it is "partial 16S ribosomal RNA". It matches the Rfam family "Bacterial small subunit ribosomal RNA", at positions 29 to 507 of the family's 1533-position model. The record is from RNAcentral.